Molecule: ribosomal RNA, 370 nt
Filed under: Streptomyces sp. AR 28
Lineage: Bacteria; Bacillati; Actinomycetota; Actinomycetes; Kitasatosporales; Streptomycetaceae
Description: bacterial SSU rRNA
Rfam family: Bacterial small subunit ribosomal RNA
Source: RNAcentral
AUUUUGCGAACGCUGGCGGCGUGCUUAACACAUGCAAGUCGAACGAUGAACCUCCUUCGGGAGGGGAUUAGUGGCGAACGGGUGAGUAACACGUGGGCAAUCUGCCCUUCACUCUGGGACAAGCCCUGGAAACGGGGUCUAAUACCGGAUACGACUACCGACCGCAUGGUCUGGUGGUGGAAAGCUCCGGCGGUGAAGGAUGAGCCCGCGGCCUAUCAGCUUGUUGGUGGGGUGAUGGCCUACCAAGGCGACGACGGGUAGCCGGCCUGAGAGGGCGACCGGCCACACUGGGACUGAGACACGGUCCAGACUCCUACGGGAGGCAGCAGUGGGGAAUAUUGCACAAUGGGCGAAAGCCUGAUGCAGCGAC